Molecule: small RNA, 179 nt
Filed under: Arabidopsis thaliana (thale cress)
Lineage: Eukaryota; Viridiplantae; Streptophyta; Magnoliopsida; Brassicales; Brassicaceae
Description: ATSL299100
Source: RNAcentral
GAGGUGGUUGUUGAUGUUGUACCUGAACUAAAAUGGAAUCCUGAGGAUGGGUAUAAAAAUAUGAAGGUCGUUGUAGAACUAGGCGAUGAGAUAGAUGCAAAAAAAGCUUGUGAAAGACAACUAAGACAGAAAUACAAGUCUCUUGGUGCGUUGAAGAUUGUAACCGAGCGAGGGCUACA